RNAcentral lists this ribosomal RNA (232 nucleotides) under uncultured bacterium. RNAcentral describes it as "partial 16S ribosomal RNA". It matches the Rfam family "Bacterial small subunit ribosomal RNA", at positions 104 to 334 of the family's 1533-position model. The record is from RNAcentral.
GGGUAGCGGAACACGUACACAACCUUCCUUUGAGUGGGGGAUAGCCCAGAGAAAUUUGGAUUAAUACCCCGUAAGAUUAUUGAAUGGCAUCAUUUAGUAAUUAAAGCUCCGGCGCUUGGAGAUGGGUGUGCGUCUGAUUAGGUAGUUGGUGAGGGUAACGGCCCACCAAGCCUUCGAUCAGUAACUGGUGUGAGAGCACGACCAGUCACACGGGCACUGAGACACGGGCCCG